Non-coding RNA from Schizosaccharomyces pombe (fission yeast), 1992 nucleotides. NCBI's taxonomy places the organism in Eukaryota, Fungi, Ascomycota, Schizosaccharomycetes, Schizosaccharomycetales, Schizosaccharomycetaceae. The record is from the annotation of a GenBank genome assembly.
AUUGAGAAAUGUGGAUUCAAUUGUAUUGCAAAAAAAAUAUUGGAAUACCAAAAAAAAAAUAAUAAUGUAAUAAAAGGGUUUUAUACCGAGCAAAAGUAAUAGCAUUUGCUACGAAUUCUUACACUCAGCCAGAUGCAAGAAUUUGCUUGGAUAAAGGAAUUGCCGUCAACUUUAUUAAGAUAACUGAUGCAUCGAUUUUUAUCACAAUGCUUCCCACCAUUUAUUAAAGUUUUUUUUAAAUAACAAAGUAAAGAGAAUAAAAAAAUUAAACUCGAAUAUCAUUAAAAAAUUAAGAAAAUGAGAAAAACGAGUUAGACAAAGAUUUGAAUGAAACAAUGAUUGAAUAUAUAAUGAGUAUGCUAGGACGACUAGAGAGUUUCCCAAUUUCAUUAGUUAAUUAUGACAGUUAAUUAGUGAACUACUGUUUUCCGAAUAAAUAAAAUCAUACUUUUAAUCUUCAUAAAUCGCGUCCAUAACAAAUUAAAAAUUCGAUGCCCAGUACAUGUUAUCCAACAUCGCAGAAUUUUUUAAGCAAAGCACUUGCUGAUCCAAUUCGUCAGGAAAUGAAAUCAUGCAUUAAAAAUACAUUUGAUAUACCCUAAACACAUCAUGAUUUGUUUGGGUAAAUCACAAUUACAAAGAUGCUUCUUCCCAUUGCAAAUCCUUGUAGAGAAGUCUCAUGAGAAAACGCCUUUGUAAUUCAAUAGUAAAGCUAGCAAUAUAAUUAGGCUUCACUUUCAGGAUUCAUUUCACGCAAUGGAAUAGCGGUGUCGCUGUUCGCGUGCUGUCUGGCAUCACAAUCUGGAGAUGAUAGCAAACGAUUUUCCACAAAAUAGUCUCUUUCCAUCAUUACCAUUAUCUCCUAUUAAUCUUUUCAUAAUGCUUAUUCCGAUUAAUCCAGGUUCCACUAUAUUGUUAAUAUAAAUUAAUGUUUAGUCAAUAUCGAACCUGUUUCAGCAAUAAAACGGGGACGCUCAUUACAGCAAAGAUAACGUUAUUAGCCAAAGAGCAUUUGAAUCCUCAUCUCUCGCCAGAAAUGUAUCUUAAAUUCAAUCGUGGUGAUCCAGCAAGUAUGUUAAAUAAAAAGACUUCUGCGAAAACCAGACGCAUGGUUUCCCACUUUUCAAGAAAUUGCUUACUGCUUUCCACAUGCCUUGGUUCAGAUUUUCUAGAAGACUGAUGAGUUAGUGAAAGAGCGUAAUAACACCUUCAUUCGUAGCUUACAAAUCAUAGUAAUCAAUAGGAUUAAACAUGUUAAGCCAAUUAAAACAAAGAAUGCUAUUUUGCCAAACGUCGACUUCUCCAACGGGUUUACACAACCCCAUGCAGUAAAAAAGACAACACUAACUGCUAGAACUGCUAUUAGUAGUCUCAGAAGGGAAUAUAUAUUUGGAUGCAAAUCUUUGAAUUCUUGUCUUCUUUCGACAUUGGGAUUUGCAGUUUCUGUAGGUCCUGUACUUGAAUCCUCAGGUACAAGAUUAGCAAGUUUCGAAAUGUCUGCAUUUAUAGUUAGCCUGGCGUGUAAUAUUUAAAGAAUGAGUGAAAUAUAUAUUCCAAUUUUGAUAACUUAACGUGAGUUCAUAACAUGAGUAAAUACAAUGUGCGCAUGUUUGAUGAUCUAGUGUUGGGGAUGCCAACUGUAAACAAUGACCACAACCAUGUUAUUUUAAAGCAACAGCAAGAUGUAAGUUUAAUUGAUUUUUCUUUUUUAUUGUUUGCAACGCUUACCUGAAUAUGGAGGUAGUGUACUCUCACCCUCCGAAUUAUGUUCUGGGAGUGGUCCUUUUUCCAAAUCAAUUUCAUGUCCUGUCUUCAAUUCAUCUUCUUCAUCUACAGAACUUUUCAAGGAAGUGUAAUUAUUCUUCAUAAUAAUAAGAUCAUUCUUUAUUUAAUAAAAUACAUGCGCGAAUUAAUUGCUAUAAUUGCGACAAACGAAACAGCGAAUUCAAGAAUAUUCGCUCUGUAGUCCAAUUCCAAUCGCUUUAAAGACUU